UCAAAUCUGAGAUGUGCGCGUUAUCUCAUAACGUAAGGUUGACCGAACACCUAUAUAAUUGGUCUUUGAAAUGAAAUAUUAAUAACAUGCCUCUUUGAGGAAGUUAGCAGUAUUUCUAUUGAAGACCCCCUGCUUGUCAGCGGGUUCAACUACAGAGAUGAUUAACGGCAUCAUGCGGAUUACAA
This 185-nucleotide non-coding RNA is filed under the name Liquorilactobacillus nagelii. RNAcentral's name for it is "6S RNA". It matches the Rfam family "6S / SsrS RNA". From Rfam's summary of the family: E. coli 6S RNA was the first non coding RNA to be sequenced, but its function was unknown until recently. It consists of 184 nucleotides that fold into an extended hairpin structure with a large single-stranded internal bulge. The record is from RNAcentral. Lineage: Bacteria; Bacillati; Bacillota; Bacilli; Lactobacillales; Lactobacillaceae.